This 165-nucleotide unclassified non-coding RNA is filed under the name Capulatispora sagittiformis. Its description in RNAcentral is "ITS1". The record is from RNAcentral. Lineage: Eukaryota; Fungi; Ascomycota; Dothideomycetes; Pleosporales; Lophiostomataceae.
AAAUGUUGAGGAGCGUGCUCCGAAGUGCCGUUUUACGAAUCCGAUUCGGAUUCACCGUGUUCUUUUUUGCGUACCCCUGUUUCCUCGGCAGCUUCGCCUGCCAACGGGGACCCCCAAAAACCCUUUGCAAUUCAAGUACAAUUUUCUGAAAACAAACAAUAUUAA